This is a long non-coding RNA of Diorhabda sublineata, 706 nucleotides long. RefSeq lists it as uncharacterized. NCBI's taxonomy places the organism in Eukaryota, Metazoa, Arthropoda, Insecta, Coleoptera, Chrysomelidae. The record is from RefSeq and is a predicted model, not a curated record. The transcript is spliced from 2 exons.
ACUGAUUCAAAAUUAUAUAGAGUCUGGUAUUGUCUCGAUCGACGUUUUAUGAAUACGCAAUAAAAAACAAUUAUAAAAAAAUGGUUUAAUAAAGGAUUAUAAAAAUGGACGAAAGAAGUACACAUUUUUUGGAUUUAGAAACGGGAGAAAUAUCGGUAUUCUUGCCAAUAUCAAAUGUCGAAACAGGGGAAAAUGAAAUCUUAUUCACAAGAAGAUUUCAAAUACCAAGUAUAUAUUACAAACCACCAAAAGACACUAAAAUAAAACACAAAGGAAAAAUUCGGAAAGCAGAUCCAUUAGAAUCUCAGUUAAUUACAGCAGCUAUAUUUCUAUUGCCGACUAUGAUAUUUUUCCAUCCAAUACUUUCUCUCCUCGUUUGCAUCGCCGAGAUUAUUAUACACAACUGGUUUCACAAAAAAAAUAAAACUCUUGAGGGCAAAUCAGUUUAUUACCAAAGUCCGCUACAUGGAAUUUCCAAGGAAAUGUGUGCAAUAUGUAAAGAAGAAAAUGCUAAAGUAAAAAUAGCUAAACUUCAAGAUAUUUCUCACGAUAAAUUCAAACAUUAUAUUAAACGAGUAGUUACUUAAAAAGUGCCGGAGUAGUUUUUGAUGGGUUUAACAAUAAAAUCCAUGUUUUUGUUUUUGUACUUACUUUUAUUAUUUGUAAAUUUGAAAUGAAAAAUAAAAAUUAUCAACUGGUUUUGAAA